This 410-nucleotide ribosomal RNA is filed under the name uncultured bacterium. Its description in RNAcentral is "bacterial SSU rRNA". It matches the Rfam family "Bacterial small subunit ribosomal RNA", at positions 980 to 1384 of the family's 1533-position model. The record is from RNAcentral.
UUUGACUCCUCCANAGAACUUAGCAGAGAUGCUUUGGUGCCUUCGGGAACUCUGAGACAGGUGCUGCAUGGCUGUCGUCAGCUCGUGUUGUGAAAUGUUGGGUUAAGUCCCGCAACGAGCGCAACCCUUAUCCUUUGUUGCCAGCGGGUANUGCCGGGAACUCAAAGGAGACUGCCGGUGAUAAACCGGAGGAAGGUGGGGAUGACGUCAAGUCAUCAUGGCCCUUACGGCCAGGGCUACACACGUGCUACAAUGGCGCAUACAAAGAGAAGCGACCUCGCGAGAGCAAGCGGACCUCAUAAAGUGCGUCGUAGUCCGGAUCGGAGUCUGCAACUCGACUCCGUGAAGUCGGAAUCGCUAGUAAUCGUAGAUCAGAAUGCUACGGUGAAUACGUUCCCGGGCCUUGUCAA